RNAcentral lists this non-coding RNA (193 nucleotides) under uncultured Eubacterium sp. RNAcentral describes it as "Lysine riboswitch". It matches the Rfam family "Lysine riboswitch aptamer". From Rfam's summary of the family: Riboswitches are metabolite binding domains within certain messenger RNAs that serve as precision sensors for their corresponding targets. Allosteric rearrangement of mRNA structure is mediated by ligand binding, and this results in modulation of gene expression. The record is from RNAcentral. Lineage: Bacteria; Bacillati; Bacillota; Clostridia; Eubacteriales; Eubacteriaceae.
GAGAUAGAGGCGCACCCGCUAAUGAGUAGGUUUUCCUUAUGGAUGUACAUAUCCGGGAAACGGAAAGGUAGGGGUGCCGAGGUUGAAUCUUUCAUGUACGGGAGAUUUCAGCUGGGCGUACAGAAUAACAUCUGUGCGACUGUCGCAGAGCGCGGAUUUAUUAAAGGCGCGUGAAGAAUGCGGAGCGCUAUCC